UGAGGAAUAUUGGACAAUGGCCGGGAGGCUGAUCCAGCCAUGCCGCGUGCAGGAUGACCGCCCUAUGGGUCGUAAACUGCUUUUGUACGGGAAGAAACCCCCCCACGUGUGGGGGGCUGACGGUACCGUAAGAAUAAGGACCGGCUAACUCCGUGCCAGCAGCCGCGGUAAUACGGAGGGUCCGAGCGUUAUCCGGAAUCAUUGGGUUUAAAGGGUCCGUAGGCGGGCCGUUAAGUCAGGGGUGAAAGUCUGCGGCUCAACCGUAGAAUUGCCUUUGAUACUGGCGGUCUUGAGUCAUGGUGGGGUUGCCGGAACAUGUGGUGUAGCGGUGAAAUGCAUAGAUAUCACAUAGAACACCGAUCGCGAAGGCAGGUGACCAACCAUCGACUGACGCUGAUGGACGAAAGCGUGGGUAGCGAACGGGAUUAGAUACCCCGGUAGUCCACGCCGUAAACGAUGGAUACUAGCUGUGGGGGCUACA
Molecule: ribosomal RNA, 481 nt
Filed under: uncultured bacterium
Lineage: Bacteria
Description: bacterial SSU rRNA
Rfam family: Bacterial small subunit ribosomal RNA
Source: RNAcentral